RNAcentral lists this ribosomal RNA (1056 nucleotides) under Bacillus timonensis. RNAcentral describes it as "bacterial SSU rRNA". It matches the Rfam family "Bacterial small subunit ribosomal RNA", at positions 35 to 1088 of the family's 1533-position model. The record is from RNAcentral. Lineage: Bacteria; Bacillati; Bacillota; Bacilli; Caryophanales; Bacillaceae.
GCGGGGGGGGGGUGCUAUACAUGCAGUCGAGCGAUCGUAAGGGAGCUUGCUCCCGAGAUUAGCGGCGGACGGGUGAGUAACACGUGGGCAACCUACCUGUAAGACUGGGAUAACUUCGGGAAACCGGAGCUAAUACCGGAUAACAUAUGAGACCACAUGGUCUUAUAUUAAAAGAUGGCUUCUCGCUAUCACUUACGGAUGGGCCCGCGGCGCAUUAGCUAGUUGGUGAGGUAACGGCUCACCAAGGCAACGAUGCGUAGCCGACCUGAGAGGGUGAUCGGCCACACUGGGACUGAGACACGGCCCAGACUCCUACGGGAGGCAGCAGUAGGGAAUCUUCCGCAAUGGACGAAAGUCUGACGGAGCAACGCCGCGUGAGCGAAGAAGGUCUUCGGAUCGUAAAGCUCUGUUGUUAGGGAAGAACAAGUAUCGUUCGAAUAGGGCGGUACCUUGACGGUACCUAACCAGAAAGCCACGGCUAACUACGUGCCAGCAGCCGCGGUAAUACGUAGGUGGCAAGCGUUAUCCGGAAUUAUUGGGCGUAAAGCGCGCGCAGGCGGUCCUUUAAGUCUGAUGUGAAAGCCCACGGCUCAACCGUGGAGGGUCAUUGGAAACUGGGGGACUUGAGUGCAGAAGAGGAGAGCGGAAUUCCACGUGUAGCGGUGAAAUGCGUAGAGAUGUGGAGGAACACCAGUGGCGAAGGCGGCUCUCUGGUCUGUAACUGACGCUGAGGCGCGAAAGCGUGGGGAGCGAACAGGAUUAGAUACCCUGGUAGUCCACGCCGUAAACGAUGAGUGCUAAGUGUUAGAGGGUUUCCGCCCUUUAGUGCUGAAGUCGACGCAUUAAGCACUCCGCCUGGGGAGUACGGUCGCAAGACUGAACUCAAGGAGUUGACGGGGCCGCACAGCGGUGGAGCAUGUGGUUUACUCGAAGCACGCGAGAUCUGACCAGUCUGACAUCCUCUGACACUCUAGAGAUACGACGUUACCAUUCGGGACAGAUGACAGUGUGCAUGCAUGUCGUCAGCCUCGUGUCGUGAGAUGUUGGCUUAGUCCG